RNAcentral lists this ribosomal RNA (444 nucleotides) under uncultured bacterium. Its description in RNAcentral is "bacterial SSU rRNA". It matches the Rfam family "Bacterial small subunit ribosomal RNA", at positions 29 to 507 of the family's 1533-position model. The record is from RNAcentral.
AACGAACGCUGGCGGCAGGCCUAACACAUGCAAGUCGAGCGCUCUCUUCGGAGGGAGCGGCGGACGGGUUAGUAACGCGUGGGAAUGUACCCUUCUCUAAGGAAUAGCCAUUGGAAACGAUGAGUAAUACCUUAUACGCCCCCCGGGUCAAACUGGGGGGAAAGAUUUAUCGGAGAGGGAUCAGCCCGCGUAAGAUUAGAUAGUUGGUGGGGUAAUGGCCUACCAAGUCUACGAUCUUUAGCUGGUUUUAGAGGAUGAUCAGCAACACUGGGACUGAGACACGGCCCAGACUCCUACGGGAGGCAGCAGUGGGGAAUCUUGGACAAUGGGCGCAAGCCUGAUCCAGCCAUGCCGCGUGAGUGAUGAAGGCCUUAGGGUCGUAAAGCUCUUUCGCCAGAGAUGAUAAUGACAGUACCUGGUAAAGAAACCCCGGCUAACUCCGUG